GUAAUAGAUAUGUUCUUGAAACUUAAAAAAUUUGGCGGUAUUUUAGUCUAUUCAGAGGAACUUGUCCUAUAAUUGAUAAUCCACGUUGGACCUUACUUAAAUUUGUUAACAGUUUAUAUAUCGUCGUUAUCAGAAUAUUUUAUAAGAAUAAUAAUUUUCAAGAUUUUUAAUUAAAUUUUAUUUCAGAUCAAGGUGUAGCUUAUAUUUAAGUAGAGAUGAGUUACAUUAAAAAUAUUUAAAUGAAUAUUAAUAUGAAAAAAGGAUUGAAAGUGGAUUUGAAAGUAAAUUUAUAAAGAU
RNAcentral lists this ribosomal RNA (297 nucleotides) under Teleopsis sp. Sabah 1. RNAcentral describes it as "partial 12S ribosomal RNA". Lineage: Eukaryota; Metazoa; Arthropoda; Insecta; Diptera; Diopsidae. The record is from RNAcentral.